Molecule: ribosomal RNA, 411 nt
Filed under: bacterium HPC756
Lineage: Bacteria
Description: bacterial SSU rRNA
Rfam family: Bacterial small subunit ribosomal RNA
Source: RNAcentral
AUGCUGACGGAGUGGCGAACGGGUGAGUAAUACAUCGGAACGUGCCCGAUCGUGGGGGACAACGAGGCGAAAGCUUUGCUAAUACCGCAUACGAUCUACGGAUGAAAGCGGGGGAUCUUCGGACCUCGCGCGGACGGAGCGGCCGAUGGCAGAUUAGGUAGUUGGUGGGAUAAAAGCUUACCAAGCCGACGAUCUGUAGCUGGUCUGAGAGGAUGAUCAGCCACACUGGGACUGAGACACGGCCCAGACUCCUACGGGAGGCAGCAGUGGGGAAUUUUGGACAAUGGGCGAAAGCCUGAUCCAGCCAUGCCGCGUGCAGGAUGAAGGCCUUCGGGUUGUAAACUGCUUUUUGUACGGAACGAAAACCUCUUUCUUAUAAAAGAGGGGUCAUGACGGUACCGUAAGAAUAAA